Molecule: ribosomal RNA, 1247 nt
Filed under: metagenome
Description: bacterial SSU rRNA
Rfam family: Bacterial small subunit ribosomal RNA
Source: RNAcentral
AAGUUGGUAGGGUAAUGGCCUACCAAGGCUAAGACGGGUAGGGGACCUGAGAGGGUGACCCCCCACAAUGGUACCGAAACACGGACCAUACACCUACGGGUGGCAGCAGUAGGGAAUAUUGCACAAUGGACGAAAGUCUGAUGCAGCAACGCCGCGUGUGCGAUGAAGGUCUUCGGACUGUAAAGCACUUUUCUGAGGGAAGAGGAAGGACGGUACCUCAGGAAUAAGUCUCGGCUAACUACGUGCCAGCAGCCGCGGUAACACAUAGGAGGCAAGCGUUAUCCGGAUUUACUGGGCGUAAAGCGCGUGCAGGCGGUUUGGUAAGUUGGAUGUGAAAGCUCCCGGCUCAACUGGGAGAUGCCGUUCAAUACUGCCAGACUAGAGGACGGUAGAGGGAGGUGGAAUUCCCGGUGUAGUGGUGAAAUGCGUAGAUAUCGGGAGGAACACCAGUGGCGAAAGCGGCCUCCUGGGCCGAUCCUGACGCUAAGACGCGAAAGCAUGGGUAGCAAACGGGAUUAGAAACCCCGGUAGUCCAUGCCGUAAACGAUGCGAACUUGGUGUUGGUGGUGUAAAAGCCGUCAGUACCGCAGCUAACGCGAUAAGUUCGCCGCCUGGGGAUUACGACCGCAAGGUUAAAACUCAAAGGAAUUGACGGGUUCCCGCACAAGCAGCGGAGCGUGUGGUUUAAUUCGAUCUACGCGAAGAACCUUACCUGGGCUUGACAUAUAGGUGGUAGGGAGCCGAAAGGUGACCGACCCUUCGGGGAGCCUAUACAGGUGCUGCAUGGCUGUCGUCAGCUCGUGUCGUGAGAUGUCCGGUUAAGUCCGGUAACGAGCGCAACCCUUGCCGUAUGUUACAAGUGUCAUACGGGACUGCCGGUAUAAAGCCGGGGGAAGGCGGGGAUGACGUCAAGUCAGCAUGGCCUUUAUGUCCAGGGCUACACACACGCUACAAUGGUCGGUACAAUGGGUCGCAAAACCGCGAGGUGGAGCCAAUCCUCAAAACCGAUCUCAGUUCGGAUUGCAGGCUGCAACUCGCCUGCAUGAAGCUGGAGUUGCUAGUAAACGCGCGUCAGCAACAGUGCGUUGAAUACGUUCCCGGGAAUUGUACACACCGCCCGUCACGUCAUGGGAGCUGGCAACACCUAAAGUCGGUAUCCUAACCCUAACGGGAAGGAGCUGCCAAAGGUGGGGCUGGUGACUGGGACGAAGUCGUAACAAGGUAGGUGUACCGGAAGGUGCGCCUGG